UACGUAGGGGGCAAGCGUUAUCCGGAUUUACUGGGUGUAAAGGGAGCGUAGACGGCGAUGCAAGCCAGAUGUGGAAGCCCGGGGCUCAACCCCGGGACUGUAUUUGGAACUGUAUAGCUAGAGUGUCGGAGAGGCAGGCGGAAUUCCUAGUGUAGCGGUGAAAUGCGUAGAUAUUAGGAGGAACACCAGUGGCGAAGGCGGCCUGCUGGACGAUGUCUGACGUUGAGGCUCGAAAGCGUGGGGAGCAAACAGG
RNAcentral lists this ribosomal RNA (253 nucleotides) under uncultured bacterium. RNAcentral describes it as "partial 16S ribosomal RNA". It matches the Rfam family "Bacterial small subunit ribosomal RNA", at positions 524 to 776 of the family's 1533-position model. The record is from RNAcentral.